UGAACGCUGGCGGCGUGCCUAAUACAUGCAAGUCGAGCGAACAGAUGCGGAGCUUGCUCCUCUGACGUUAGCGGCGGACGGGUGAGUAACACGUGGAUAACCUACCUAUAAGACUGGGAUAACUUCGGGAAACCGGAGCUAAUACCGGAUAAUAUAUUGAACCGCAUGGUUCACUAGUGAAAGACGGUUUUGCUGUCACUUAUAGAUGGAUCCGCGCCGCAUUAGCUAGUUGGUAAGGUAACGGCUUACCAAGGCAACGAUGCGUAGCCGACCUGAGAGGGUGAUCGGCCACACUGGAACUGAGACACGGUCCAGACUCCUACGGGAGGCAGCAGUAGGGAAUCUUCCGCAAUGGGCGAAAGCCUGACGGAGCAACGCCGCGUGAGUGAUGAAGGUCUUCGGAUCGUAAAACUCUGUUAUUAGGGAAGAACAAAUGUGUAAGUAACUAUGCACGUCUUGACGGUACCUAAUCAGAAAGCCACGGCUAACUACGUG
RNAcentral lists this ribosomal RNA (495 nucleotides) under uncultured bacterium. RNAcentral's name for it is "partial 16S ribosomal RNA". It matches the Rfam family "Bacterial small subunit ribosomal RNA", at positions 30 to 507 of the family's 1533-position model. The record is from RNAcentral.